Molecule: small nuclear RNA, 325 nt
Filed under: Nannospalax galili (Upper Galilee mountains blind mole rat)
Lineage: Eukaryota; Metazoa; Chordata; Mammalia; Rodentia; Spalacidae
Description: 7SK RNA (ENSNGAG00000002963.1)
Rfam family: 7SK RNA
About the family: 7SK was discovered as an abundant small nuclear RNA in the mid-70s but a possible function has only recently been suggested.
Source: RNAcentral
AAAUGUAAGAACCAUCUGGCUGUGACAUUGGAAACCUCACUGAUCAUCAGGGUUCAUUCCACUGAUAUGGUUGGCAAAGUGGGUGUCCCUUUCCUCCUGACACCUCCAUGGGCAUUGCAUCCCUUCGGAAGUUGCACACUCAGUCCAAGAAGAUGCCUUUCCCUGAUAGAGGAGGAUCAGUCUUCAGUCAAGGGUAUGCAGGUAGUUGUGUUCCUCUGCUAGAACUUGCAAACAAGCUCUCAGUGUCUACCUGUGGAAGCCAUAGUCAAGCUUCCAAGACUCCAGACAUACCCAAAUGAGGCACUGCAUGAGGCAAUCUGCCUUU